CCAAAUACUUGGAUCCAAAUGAUCUAGGCAAGAUCAGCUUCAGAGAUUUCUGUCAUGGAGUGUUUGCCAUCAAAGGCUGUGAAGAGUUACUGAAGGAUGCAUUGUCCGUUGAAAGCCUCGAGCCUCAGCACUAUGAGACACCAUAUGUGGAUUACUACUACCAGGGGACUUGAACACACCUGGAACUGUCUUACACUACAUCAGAUCAUUGGUCCAGUACUGCCAGAGAGUCUCCAGGAUCUUAGGCAGAGAUUAUUCCUACCUCUGCUGGACAAGAGAUACUUUGAACUGAAAACGACAAGGUUUUAACCUGUGACCUCUGGCAUGUAAAACACAUGUUCUGCUGCCGAGCUGUGACCCUCCAAU
Rhineura floridana is the source of this 366-nucleotide long non-coding RNA. RefSeq lists it as uncharacterized. NCBI's taxonomy places the organism in Eukaryota, Metazoa, Chordata, Lepidosauria, Squamata, Rhineuridae. The transcript has 3 exons. The record is from RefSeq and is a predicted model, not a curated record.